This 2420-nucleotide long non-coding RNA is filed under the name Capsicum annuum. Its description in RNAcentral is "long non-coding RNA (CANN_LNC016358)". The record is from RNAcentral. Lineage: Eukaryota; Viridiplantae; Streptophyta; Magnoliopsida; Solanales; Solanaceae.
CAACAACUCCUACACUCUCCACCGUCGUUUCGUCGUGACAACUCCAUUUCCUCGUAACUCGGGUCACUGCAAAAAUCACCUCUGUCCUAUCGUUGGUUCAUUUUCCCUGCCGCACCAACUUAAUGUUAUGUAAAACUAAAACCAUAUAUGUGUUAAAUUGACUUAUAUAUGUAGCAGAUUAGAUUAGAAAACUUGUACACAAAACAUAAAGAGAGAUUCUGAUAUGUAUCACACGUACUUUAUAAUUUUUAAUAUAUAUUUUUUUUGUUAUAUGAAAUAAGGGUAUAAUGAGCAGUGAAUAAAAAUAAAAAAUUGAUACAUAUAAAAAAAAUAUCAAAUUAUUAUAUCAAUAUUAUACAUAAAUUUCUUAUAGGUUAAAAUAUAUCAAAAUAAUGUAUCAAUGAUGCACGUAUAAACUAUAUCACAUAAUUAAAUAAAAUUGAAAUGUAUCAAUUGAAAAAUGCACAAAUUGAAUGAGGGUGGUGAAGCCAUUAAAUAACCAAAAAACAUAUGCAUAUCCUUAAAUUAUGUAAUGGUACACAAGUUCUUCAUAUGUAUCUAAAUAUAUAUGUAUCAAAUACAUUUAUCUGAUACAUAUAUUUAAUACAUAUGAUUGAUACAUAUGUACAUAUGUUUUGGUACUUAUGAUUGAUACAUUAAUCUACUACUUUUAUCGUUCGUUCGUACCACCACCGUCAUCUUGCCAUUUUUAUCAAAAAUCUAUCAAAUGAUUAUUUAAUUUCUCCUCUUUUCCUUAUUGGAGGCUUAAAAGUUGAAAAAAGGAAAUUGAUAAAGAAUUCAAAAAAAGACAAUGAAAUUAGUGAAAUCGAUAUGAUAUCAACUUGAUGGAUGAGUGUAGUUGUUGGAGGUUGAAGAGAAAAAGAUGCAGAAAUGGGGAGAGAUUUUCGAAAUUUUUGGGGUGAAAUAAUUUGAAAAAUCAAGAAACGUGAUUUGGGACAUCAAUGAUGGAGUGUAAAGAGGCUGAGAAGAUUGAGUAUAUUUAUAAAAAGCAAAACUGUACAAAAUGAAAUUUUAAGUAAUUUUUUAAAACAUAAGAAAUUUUAUGUAUUAAUGCCUAAUAAGUUUAUGAAUUUGUAUGACUUUAUCUUAAUAACUUUGUAUCACUAUCAAUUCGAUUAUAAUGCAGAAACUAAAGGAGGAAGGCAGAGAGACUUAUGGAGUAGCCAUUAGUGUUGCUGGAUUUAAUACUUUCGUUUUAGUAAUUCUUUAAUUUUAACUUUUCACAUUCUACAUUUAAGAGCACAAGAUUAAAUAAUAUUUUAAUAUAUUUAAUUUAUUUUUAAUUUAAGACCACAAAAUUUAAAAAUCUAUUUACAUUUUUAAAUUUCGUAUCAAAUCAAAAUAUUCGAUUCUUUUUCAAAUGAAAAAAUAGUUGUUAGUAUAUUCUUUUGAGUUUUGACCCAUCAGCGUCAUUAUUCUAUUUGGAUUUUCCGUUUUGAUUUUUGAAUCUUUAAAAUAGAUUUAUUGGAAGAACAAUAAUUAUGAGCAAAGUACCUUUCUUUCAUUAUCAACCAUGAAUCAUCUAUUAUGUUUAUACUCGGUAAUCAUUAUCAUUUCUAGGACAAACAAAAUUUAUUGUUUGCUUAAUGCAAGGCCGGUUUAAUGGGGAGACCAUUGAAGCAAUAAUUUAGGGGGCAGCUCAUGUCCUUUUCUUCAUAACAUUAAGCCCCCCAAUAUAUUUAUAUUUUAUAAAUAAUAUAUUAUAUUAGCAUAUUAUAAAAUUAUUAUUUCAUUGUUUCAACUUCUAUAGAUGAUUCGACCUUCUAAGUGAUACAAUAACGACAAGAAGAACACAAAGUCUUGGUUUGGCGACACCAAACUCGAGAAUGAACAACAACAACAAUGAAAUAGGUAGAUAGAUAGAUACAUACAUACAUACAUACAUACAUACAUACAUAGAUACAUACAUACAUACAUACAUGCAUGCAUGCAUACAUGCAUAGAUAGAUAGAUAGAUAGAUACAUACAUACAUAGAUAGAUAGAUAGAUAGAUAGAUAGAUACAUACAUACAUACAUACAUACAUACAUACAUACAUACAUACAUACAUACAUACAUGCAUGCAUGCAUACAUGCAUAGAUAGAUAGAUAGAUAGAUACAUACAUACAUAGAUAGAUAGAUAGAUAGAUAGAUAGAUACAUACAUACAUACAUACAUACAUACAUACAUACAUACAUAGAUACAUAGGUAACUUGACAUACAAAUGUACAAACACUAUGAACCUAAGUGUAUAUUGAACACAAAGAUCCAAGAAUUCAUGCAAGUAACACCAACCUCUACGGUGACCUCAAGGGAACGGGAUUCCCAAGCAACCAAGGUUUCAAAACUAGCACCAACACAAGUGAUAUCCACACUUGUUUACAAGGAAUCCACCUUGCAAGCAUCUCUCUCUAGAGCUC